RNAcentral lists this ribosomal RNA (159 nucleotides) under uncultured bacterium. RNAcentral's name for it is "partial 16S ribosomal RNA". It matches the Rfam family "Bacterial small subunit ribosomal RNA", at positions 355 to 507 of the family's 1533-position model. The record is from RNAcentral.
UCGCGAAUUUUUCACAAUGGGCGCAAGCCUGAUGGAGCCACGCCGUGUGCAGGAUGAAGGCCCUCUGGGUUGUAAACUGCUGUCAGGGAAGGGGAAACGCUUGGUGUUAACAGCGCCAGGUUUGACUGCUUUCCAAAGGAAGCCCCGGCAAAACAUGUG